AUGGAAGCUCGUCACGUCGUACGACGACAACCCGCCGCCCCUCGACCCCGGCGACGACGUCCCGUCCUGCUCGCCGUCCUUCAACUCCCGCCGCCGCGUCACCCACCGCCGCGCCAGCGCCAGCAUUGCCACCACGCACACCACGCAGCACACCCCGACGAUCCACGCGCUCCCGGCGAACCCCCGCUUCUCUCCGCCCUUCUGGCACAGCGGCAGCGCCGUGUCGCUCAGGUUGAGCCGGAACGCCACGCACAGCCCCGGGUUGCCGGCCACGCUCUCCAGCAGCCCUUCCUUGAUCAUCGCCGGCGGCACCGGCCCCGACAGGUUGUUGCCGGCGAAGUCCAGCGAGUUGGGCAGCAGCGCGCACAGCGCCUCCGGUAUCUGCCCCGACAGCGCGUUCUCCGACAGGUUCAGCACGUUGAGGCUCCUCAGGUCGGCGAGCGUCUCCGGGAUGGGGCCGUUCAGGCGGUUCCCCUGCAAGGACAGCUGGUUAAGCCGGACCAGCCUCCCCAUCGCCGCCGGGAUCGGGCCGGCGAUGAGGUUGUUGCUCAGGUCGAUCUUCACGAGGCCCCAAACGUCGGCGAUCUCCGGCGGGAGCAUGCCGGACAGCCGGUUGGCGGACGCGAACAGCGAGGUGAGGUUCUUGGCGCCGGCGAUGGACGGGGGCACCGACCCGGUGAAAUGGUUGUAGGAGAGGUCCACGAUGGAGGCAUGCGGCAGCGCGAAGAUGCCCGGCGGCACGUCGCCCUCCAGGUGGUUGCUGCUCACGCGGAACCGGAGGAGCGGCAGGCAGUCGGCGUAGGCCGCCGGGAUGGUGCCGGUGAGCAGGUUGCUGAGGACAAGGAUGUACUGGAGCUUACCGUUGGCGCAGGCGUGCAGCGGCAGCGGGCCCGUGAGCUGGUUCUCGGAGACCUCGAGCACGUUGAAGUCGGAGUAGCGGCCGAGGUCGGUGGGGAGCUCGCCGGUGAGCUGGUUCUUGUACACGGAGAGGAUCUCGAGCUGCGUGGAGUUGCCCAGCACGGCCGGGAUGGGCCCGGUGAGGAAGUUGGUGUAGAGCUGCAGCACGCGGAGGCGCGGCAGCGCGCAGAGCGAGUCCGGGAUGGCGCCCUCGAGGCGGUUCUCGGAGAAGUCGACGUCGGCGAGGCGCGUGAGGUUGCCGAGCUCGUCGGGGAUGGCGCCCUCCAGGUCGUUGUAGUAGAGCUCGAGGAACUCGAGGUUGGCGAGGCGGCCGAGCGACGCCGGGAUGCGGCCGGUGAGGGAGUUGCCGCUGAGCUCCAGGAAGGUGAGGGACGUCAUGUUGCCGAGCCACGCCGGCACGCCGCCGCGCAUGGACGUGGUGGACAGGAUGAGCACGCGGAGGCGCCGCAGCCGCGUGAGCGCCUCCGGCGGGCGCCACACGUCGAACCCGGGGUUCUCGUUGAAGUUGAUCACCUCCAGCGAGGUCAUGCCGGCGAGGGACGCCGCCGGGAACGCGCCGGAGAAGAGGUUGUCGGAGAGGUCGAGCACCCGCAGCGCCCGCAUCGGGGACAGGUCCGGCAGCGCGCCCGACACGCUGGCGAAGCUGAGGUUGAGCGUCUCGAGGGACGAGCAGUUGAGGAGGCCCGGCGGGAAGCCGCCGCGGAUUUCGUUGUAGGCGAGCAGGAGGUCCCGGAGCGCCGGCAGCGCCGCGCAGAUGCCGGGCGGGAGCCUGCCUGUCAGCCGCCACGAGGUGAGGUCGAUGCCCGUCACGUUGCCAUCUCCCCCGUCGCACACCACGCCCUGGAACCGGCAGUAGUCGACCGGCGCAGACGAGAAGUCCCAGCGCGCCAUGGCCGGGCCGGCGAGCUCCUGCUUGAGCCGGGACAGGUACGCAGCCUGCGCGUCCAAUGCCGCCGCGCCAUCGCCGGCCGCCGACAGGAGAGCGACGACGACGAGCAGCAAGGCCGUCGAGCACAGCGUGGCCACCAUGGCUGCUGUAUCCAGCACGUACGCACCUAG
This 1977-nucleotide ribosomal RNA is filed under the name Triticum aestivum (bread wheat). RNAcentral's name for it is "partial small subunit ribosomal RNA". The record is from RNAcentral. Lineage: Eukaryota; Viridiplantae; Streptophyta; Magnoliopsida; Poales; Poaceae.